Long non-coding RNA from Mastomys coucha (southern multimammate mouse), 650 nucleotides. RefSeq lists it as uncharacterized. Lineage: Eukaryota; Metazoa; Chordata; Mammalia; Rodentia; Muridae. The transcript is spliced from 3 exons. The record is from RefSeq and is a predicted model, not a curated record.
CUCCAAGGUGAUUCUAAACCAGUCAGGCACAAUGAAGACACAUGACAUCCCCACCCCCCACCUCCCACCCCGUUUUCAAGACCAUAGCACCUCAGUGACCUUCUCAGGCAGGAUAAUCGUCCUGCUCAUCGUUCUCAAUACUACAAAGUGACUCUGCUGUACAUGGGAGUGGGGAGGAGUAUUUGAGAUGAAGCAUGACUUUCAACUUUCCAGAACAGAGAUAGGAGACACGUUCCAUGGGACUAGAGCAAACAAGGAGUAAGCCAGGGGUACAGUCAAAACAUGCAGACAGCACAGGACUGGAACCUCGCCCAACACAUCUGGGAGAGCAAGCAGCAAGGGGAGCCAGACAACAUCUCAGCAGGCCAUCUCCCCACAGUCCCUGUGCAGGCCAUAUUGAGAGUAUGUGCUUGUUUGUUAGCUCGUUUUGAUAACUUGACACAAGGCCUAUGGGACAUUUUCUGAUUGAUGUGGAAAGGUCAUCCCACUGUGGCAGAGGUCCUGAGGUGUGUAUAGAAGCAAACAGAACAAACCAGUAAGCAGCACUCCUCCCUGGCCUCUGCACCAGCUCCUGCCUCCAGGUUCCUGCCCUGACUUCUUUCAGCGAUCGAUUAUAAAUUGUAAAGGGAAAUAAACACUUUCCUCCUCAG